Long non-coding RNA from Pomacea canaliculata, 7239 nucleotides. RefSeq lists it as uncharacterized. The record is from RefSeq and is a predicted model, not a curated record. Lineage: Eukaryota; Metazoa; Mollusca; Gastropoda; Architaenioglossa; Ampullariidae. The transcript has 3 exons.
UGGCAGCAUCCUUCUUGCUGACUUGUGUAAACCAAACUGUUGCUGUGCAAGCGGAUGCUAAAUGGCGUGUUGUUUAAGGGGCACGAGUGUUAAGUAGGAAGGACGAACAACAGGUGAUGGAUGAUGGCCUCAGUACUUCACAGCUCUACGACAGAUGAUAUAAAGAGGAGGGGAUGUUUCCGAGUCGCAUGCCAAGCUGCCGACAGUCCAGCUUCCAAGAACAGCAACCGCAUCAACCCCAUCCCCCCAUCCUCAGCGUGAAGAUCACAGCAUCGCGCGGGUCUGAGGCUGAGCUGCGGCAACGUGCGGCAAGUGGCAGCUGUGCGCAGCGCGUCCCACUUUGAUAUCCACGGUGCACUCACCCAUCUUGACACAGAAUCUCACCGCCACCAACUUCUCGUCUGCUCUCGCCCGUGCUUCGGGGCCGCCAGCCGCCAAAACCACCGCCGCCGCCCCACUUCAGUGUUGCAACACCAUCAUCGUUACUACCACCAACCGCAGCAGCAGCAGCAGCACAUAGUAGCAGCAGUAACCGUCUAGAAGCAAACUUUCCUGCAACUGGAGCAGGAGAGGAUUACUUCAACAAGUCGUCGCGGCUAUCGCCGUUGUUGUUGUUGUUGUCAUUUUCACUUGCCGUCGUCGUGGUGGUGAUGGUGGUGGGCUCGAAUCUGGAGAGGGGGACAGGGGACCGAGAAAACGCUGUCAGCAAGCCUCGUCAUACUUCGACAUAGUCUCAUCCCCCGACGAAACACUACUUUCCCCACCCCAACGUGCAAGCCCCACGUAUUGUUUUCCUCCUGCAGGAUUGUCGUGUCAUCGUCCUCCUCGUCAUUCAUCAUUGCCGUGACGAGCUCUCCUCCCAACACUCUUCCUCUCCCUCCUCACUCUGCAGUGACCCUCUGACCUUUGCUCCACUGUGUGAUUUCCUCUGAUCAUCACCAGUCACCAGGACUCUUUGCGUUCCCUUGCAGCAGAACUGGGAAUCACCGUCGUCGUAUUCGUCGUCGUCGUCGAAGAUGAGCCUGUCGACGUCCAUAGCGUCAUCGCGGGGUGGGAGGAAGCCUGGAGGCAGCAACAUCUGCUCCAACAGCAACGUCUGGCGGGGAAGUAGCAACAAGAAAAAGUCCUCCAACUCCGAGGAGGAGAUCGCGCAUCGACAACAACGUAGGCAAGCCAACAAGACCCCUUGCUGUGUUAUCUCCCUGACUACCAGUGCGUCACUUCCGGUUUCGGCCACCAUACUGAUCUUGUCAGCCACCAUUUUCUGCUUGGGCUUCAUUCAUCAAAUGGUCACGACCUGAGAGCAAUUGGCUCCCCAUAGCUUGAGUUAUGGGGCUUUAACACAGUCCUUGCAGGCUAGUGAACGCAGAAAGUCUUUACUUGAAACGAAGGACACAAAUUUUAUCCCCCUUUUGUUCAAAUCCGUUCCUUUGAGUUCGAGGUCGAAAGACUGGGCCAUGAUUUUUCAGCAAGCAGCUGAUAGGAGCUGCAGGCACUGCCAUUUUUGUUAACAGAAGAAGCAGCUGGAUUGUUUACAAGGCCAUUGAGCGACUUUGACCAGGAAGCCUCAUUUGACGAUGUCCACUAUGGUUUCAUUUGAAACUUGGGAUAAAACUGUGCCGAACUGGUUUUGGGGAAACGGAUCCUUCUUCGCUGUUUUGUUUUAGCAGCCAAGAUUUUUCCCAGUGAUUUUUUUUUCUCUUGAUGCUACUGUUCUAUCAGCUGCCUUUCACACACGGGUUUAACUUUUCCUAAAUUUGCGAAAAACGUUUCAAUGUUCGGCAUCAGCAUUUUAAAUGCGUUUUGAUUCCAUCAUUUCGUUGUGUGAAAAGCAAAAACAGUUUAUCCAAUGAGCGCGUGACGUGGAAGAGGUCAGCGAAGGGAGAAGAGGAGAUAAUGGGGGAUCCGCGGCCUGCCUCCACAAGAGGUGAUUGAACUGUUGAAUAUUUUACAAAGCAGCUGUGUAAUGGAUUCUGCUGCAAAUCAUGCCCUCUUUAUUUCCCUUCCAUGGACUUUUUUCCCCCUGGGCUGUACUAAAAAGCUUUCGCAACUCUUUUGUCAAACAUAGAAGUGUCCACAAAUGUCAGAGCUUAAAAAGGGGCUGUACGGGCACAUUUAUGUCCGGACAAAGAUGCGAACGCUUGCCCAGCCCAGAAAUGAGUCUGCCAAGCAAGCAUCUUGGUGCUGUUUCUUGGGAGAUCAUCAACGUGUCGGUGGUCUUUCUAGAUUUUUGUUGGUGACAAUUUUUAUUUGAUAGAUGGCGUCAAAGCACAAACAGCUUUGUGAUAACUUGAGAGAUUUUUCUGCUGUCAGUAAUAAUAAAGCUGAUUUUGAUAUUGUUUUUUUCUACUUUACCGUAAUCACAAAGCGAGUUACAAAAACAAAGCAAAGUAAACAUUCAUAAAAAUACAAGUAUAAUAUAAAUGAACAUAAAAUACAUACAUCGACCAAACUAUUAAUAAAUAAUCAAGGACAGAACAACACAAUAUGAAAGUAAAUGUAGAAUUUUUACUCAGAGUAAUUUGAUACAAACACAUCUUGCACGCUUGCAUUCGUUUUAAUCUUCUGAGUAGUCAGUCUUAACUAAUUGCACUAGUAUUUUGCAAUGUAUAUUUAAUUUAAUUAUUUUGGUCCUAAUUAGAAAUUUUCUUUUCCUGGCUUUUAUUUUCUGCAUGUUGGACAGCAACGUCUGUCAGAACAGAAAAAAAGAUGAAAUCCAAACACUACUUCUAGUAGGUUUUGUACUUUUAAGAUUGUUUGUCUGUUUGCGUGUUUGCUGUAUCCAUAAAUUUCUAUUUUUAAAAAUCUUUUCUACGAUGUAAUUUUACCCUUUGAGACGUUUGCUGUAAACCAUGUAUAUUUUGUUUUUAUACACAAAUGACAAUAAAUGUUCACCUAACACAGGGUGCAUGUUAUGAACCACGGGCAUAACGUUUCCUAUGCGGGGGCAAAGUUCCUUACACGAAGAGGUCUACGACCAGUAUGAAUGGACAUGUUUGGGAACGAGGUCACUAUUGUGUCACAGAGAUCAAAUGACCCUGUAAAUUUUAGCUCUGACUAGAGCACAGUUUUAACAUGUCUGCUACAACUCAAUUUUUAUUUUCAAACAACUAGGACAGUGUCAAUACAAGAGACUUCAUUUUGUAUUCUUCCUCCGCCACGCUGCUGAAGCCAGAGAUGUGACAAGGCCAUCUAGUUCCCUAAUUCAAAAGGAGACAAAGAGCGUUGGAGGGCUAUGUCAUGAAAGUAUAGCCUAGUGACCGAAAAUAAGAUCUCCAAAAUGUGAGUCAAUAAAUUUCCUUCGAUGAUAGAAGUGUGCAGACACCAACACGCACACUCAUAGGUCUCUCGUUUGCUAUAUAGCAAUGGCGACUUAUGUCCGUGCAUUUUCUUGAGGUCACACUUUAACCUUUUAAUGUGUACGGUGAUAGUUGUAGAAAAAUGUGAUCCUUACCUGGCUUAAACUGACCUCGAGCCAUUCGUUUUCGAAAAAAAAAUCAACAUUUGGUAGACCUUCAAGCAGCGAUUAAUUUUGAAGGCAGUAAACUCACAAAAUGUUCAAGAAAAUAGAAGUGGACAGUUGAGAGUAGAUCAAACGGAUGUGUGGAUUGUGACCGUUUCCUGCUUCAACUUUCUUAAUUGUUUGGGAACCUUGUUUCAAACUGAGCACUUUCUAACGGAUUAUUAUUAUUAUUAUUAUUAUUAUUAUUAUUAUUAUUAUUGCUGUGCCUUUAUUUCAAUUUUAUGUAUACUUUUACUUCUCCCUUGCACUUUCGAUGACUUACUUAUGAUAGGUGUAACUUCCAUGGUAUUUUUUUUUUUUUGGUUGGCCCUUGCUCAAGGACGUUAAAUGUGAUUUAAACUUCUUGUCACAUUCACUUAUUGGUGUGAAGAAAAGUGAUAUGUGUGUAUCUGGGCCGGCUUGAAAUAUAUUUAGCACAGAUAAUAAUUGAUAUCAGAGCCAACCACAUUGCCAAUCAUAGCAAAGGUCAUGUGCUAAUGAUAUAGCGAGUCUUAUCUGGUAUCGGAUAAUAAUUCGGUGACUUUAUCAGGAUGUGUUAUAUGCACAAAAUUAAUACAUUACAGAGCUAGAAUGAUCAAAGGCGUCUCUGAUUAGCAGUGAAUACUAGAGAAAUGCUUUGGUACAGAGAAUUUGUGCUGUGGAGAUAGGGAUUGUCGAUGUUUCUGCAGUUUGCGGCAGAGACAUGUUUUUUUGUGUGACCAAAACCUGAGGUCGUACUUUCUUUGUAUGUUCAAAUGAACAAGUUUUGUAUCAUCUGACAUCAGUCCUUAACUGGUUUUUAUCUUUGAAAGCUAUACGUGAUUUUUACAGACUGCAAAUUUCUCCUUUAUCCAUCGAACAGAUUUACUCAAGAGCUGUAAGAUCCCCGAUCGUCUCAAACCACAAUCCUUCCCCCCACUGUGCAAAAGCAUCUUUCUUUUAAAAAUUGUUCUUAGUCUUAACCUUCGAAAAAGAAACCCCAUGUAAUUCCACAAAGAAAGUAUUUUCCCAACGAGCUGUUAGUGGGUUUGUGUCAAACGAUCUUCAGAUAUUAUUUUAAUGCCACCUUUGCAUCUUUUGUAAUAUUUUAACAUAUUUUGAAAUGUGUAUAUAGCAGUGAGCUGUGUACAAGCUGAGUCACCGCGCUGACGUUUUCCACAACCAAAGUUUUUGUAUACAAUGCCAACUGGUCAGAGAACUCUGGAGUUCCUAAGUGAGGAAUGUCCAUACUUGUUGACCAUUUGUUAUUCUCCAUCUCCCGGGCACGUCCAUGAGGACUUCUUGUAUUCCUGUCGGAGUCUGACAGAAAGUACAACAUAUUAAAAGAACAGCUGCAUUGCUGCUAUUUCACGUUUCUCUCGUUUUAUAUCAUUUUCCAAUACAUGUAAAAUAUUCUGCAUGAGAAGUAUUUUGUAGCAUUCUAGAGUUUCUGUUUUCAUCUUAUUUUGUGGCCUAUACAGACCAGCGCUGAGAUGGGGUGGGUCCAUGCGUAAGUAGUUUCUCACCCACCAUCUGCAUUCUUCUUUGUCUUUGAACAAUAAGAGAUACACUACACUUACAUGUACAAUAUAUGCAACUGAAAGUGCCAGGGGUUCAUAAAUCGGCACUGUAAACGUAUUUUAUUUUCUUUCUCACUCACACACACACACAUGUGUGAAGUCCGAAGAAUGACGCAGUUUAACGUUAGUUCUCAUCAAUAAAAGUUUGUGUUAAAUUUUUGUGACAUUCAUCAUUAGAAAAGCAGAUAGCUGCGCUCCUCUGAAGACAGACGGUAUUGUCCGUACCUUGGUCCAAGCAAAUCAUCCAAGCACUUUUGUCAUCAGUGUUUAGACAAAACAUCGUACGACUAAAGCCCUUAUCUCAGCGCCUCUGUCUUCUGACUUCUCAAGCACUAUUUGAAUGCAAACUUGUUUUCUAAUAAUCGGGUAAAACUCAUUGCAAGGUAUUAUUUUCCAAAAUAUGAGAGGACACUCCUUCUUCCAUUCUCCAAAAUACGCCUAAACAUCAUCUUGCCCUUCUGUAUCCCCACGAACUAAUAUUCCCCAUGGUAUCCCGGGACAAAAUCUUGACUUCAUGAUAUGCCUGACUAUUCUAGGCCUUCUUAACGUAGACAUAUCCAUGCACUUUCCUGACUUCUUGAAAUUGUAUCUUACACCUAGCUUUACUCAGUUUCUUUAAAAAAUGUUGACCCAGCAAGUCUUUAAGACAUCAGUUCUGCUGGCUGAUGAUCUUGUCUGAAAACGCCGAGCUUUGUGCAAGUUAUUAUUACACCAGAAAAAAAUAGAUAGCUUUCUAAUUUCCCAAGAGUGAUUAUUUAUUUCAUUAACUGUCUGUGAUUUUAACUUUUAAAUUACGAAAUCGCCAACAAAUUAAGUGGAAAACAAAAGUUGUUAAAAAUAUAAAUAUGAUCUUUGUGACAAAGCACUUUAUAUAAAAAUAUUAUAACGUCUUAUUCCUAAUAUUCUCUUUUUCUUCCUUCAAAAAUUUCUUUUACUUGCGAUGUGUCUUUCUUCUUUAUCUCGCUCUCUGUGUCAUUCACAUCUUCCCUUCCUUAGUUUCUUAUCUACAGGUUAUUUUUCAAAGAAGUAAAAAAAGGUCAAUAUUUCAUCAGUCAAAUGCAUAAUAGAAAAUGUCAGCAAUUAUCUGUUAGCUCGAUAAUAUCUGUGUGUGUGUGAGUGAGAGAGAGAGAGAGAGAGAGAGAGAGAGUAAAUGAGCUUAUGCGCGUUUAAAGGCAUGUGACAGGGAGGAUGUGGCGAUAUAUAUAUUAUUUUUAUGCUUCAUCAGCUGUUUGUACGGUUUGGUAUAUGAGUUUGAUAGAUGCGUGCAUAUAAUGUGUAUAAUGAGAUUUCUGCAUAAUCAUCAUCAAUCAUCAAUCAUCAUCCAUCAAUCAAUCAUCAUCAUCCAUCAUCAUCAUGCAUCAACUUUGUCUGAAGUUUUCAGUUUUCAUGCACCGACCAGGUUAACUCAGCAUGCUGCCAUAAAGCCUCGCACAAUACAGGCAGCCAUUCAGUUAGUCUUACAGUACUCGAACAAAAAAUAAGUUUUUGCUGUUAUCUUUGAUGCUGAUGAAUGGCUAGAUUACUAUAUAGUUGGUGCUCACUACUCACAUUCAUUUUUUAUGACGAUUAACAUUUUGAAGAAAGAGAUCGGGCCUUCCGUUUGUCUGAAAUCAAGUGAUCAAACUAAGACAACCCUUUACAGAUAUAUUCUAGUUAAGGAUGUAAUGGAUUUACAUACAGUUCUUUGGUUGUUGGUCUGUCGGUAAACGGUUUAUCUUUAGCCUGGCAAUAAUUUUCCUACAAAUCUCUCCUAAUAAUCGAUUGAAUUGCCAAUGUAUAAGUCACUUAAACUAAGAAAACAGGGUUGCUAAAAUAAAAUUAACUUCCAUUGAACCAAGUAUUCAGCACGAAUAAUAAUAAAUCUGCAUGUGCCAUAAUCUCAUUGCAUGAGCAAGUGAAUAACUGCGUUGUUUUUGCUAGUAUUUCAUCCCUCGAUCAGCCGCUCUUCUUGCGAGCCCAUUUGACUAGCUACUUUGAAAAUAAAUAAAUAAAUAAGCAAAAGGUAUUGAAUUCUCAAGUAAGCAUGUGCACUUCAACAUUCGCACUUGUGUGUUAUAAAAAUCAGACAUUUUAGACUGCUCAUUUAAACUGUCAACUGGGAUAUGAUGUUUUUGACAUUGGAUGCUUUAUAUUAUGUUGUCCUUUUCGAUGAUUUGAAAUAAAGUGACACAUUAAUUA